Molecule: transfer RNA, 70 nt
Filed under: Dipodomys ordii (Ord's kangaroo rat)
Lineage: Eukaryota; Metazoa; Chordata; Mammalia; Rodentia; Heteromyidae
Rfam family: tRNA
About the family: Transfer RNA (tRNA) molecules are approximately 80 nucleotides in length. Their secondary structure includes four short double-helical elements and three loops (D, anti-codon, and T loops).
Source: Rfam by way of RNAcentral
GGGAAUGUGGCUUUGUGGUAGAGUGCUUGCCUAGCAUGCAUGAAGCCCUGGGUUCAAUUCCUCAGUACCA